GAUGAACGCUGGCGGCGUGCCUAAUACAUGCAAGUCGAGCGAACGGACGAGAAGCUUGCUUCUCUGAUGUUAGCGGCGGACGGGUGAGUAACACGUGGAUAACCUACCUAUAAGACUGGGAUAACUUCGGGAAACCGGAGCUAAUACCGGAUGAUAUUUUGAACCGCAUGGUUCAAAAGUGAAAGACGGUCUUGCUGUCACUUAUAGAUGGAUCCGCGCUGCAUUAGCUAGUUGGUAAGGUAACGGCUUACCAAGGCAACGAUGCAUAGCCGACCUGAGAGGAUGACCGGCCACACUGGAACUAAGACACGGUCCAGACUCCUACGGGAGGCAGCAGUAGGAAAUCUUCCGCAAUGGGCGAAAGCCUGACGGAGCAACGCCGCGUGAGUGAUGAAGGUCUUCGGAUCGUAAAACUCUGUUAUUAGGGAAGAACAUAUGUGUAAGUAACUGUGCACAUCUUGACGGUACCUAAUCAGAAAGCCACGGCUAACUACGUG
Molecule: ribosomal RNA, 497 nt
Filed under: uncultured bacterium
Lineage: Bacteria
Description: partial 16S ribosomal RNA
Rfam family: Bacterial small subunit ribosomal RNA
Source: RNAcentral